GCCGUGGGUGGCCCAGCGGGUGUGGGCGAUGCCGAUGUUGGCGGUGAGGCCGGUGGCGUCGGCCUGGGCGGUCAGUUCGGCCACCCGGCCGACGGCGC
RNAcentral lists this transfer RNA (98 nucleotides) under Zoogloea oryzae. Its description in RNAcentral is "tRNA-Asn". The record is from RNAcentral. Lineage: Bacteria; Pseudomonadati; Pseudomonadota; Betaproteobacteria; Rhodocyclales; Zoogloeaceae.